GUCAAACAUAGGAAUGGUGGAUGUAACAAGGACCACAUCAAGUUUAUUCGUUGCUCCAAUUUGUGGAAAAUGUUUCCCUAAUAUAGAGCAAUCAAAGCAGAGGACAAAGAGCAUGAAGAUUUCUUGAGGAUGAUAAUUUAAGAUAUACGUUCAAAGACUUUGAUGUAGCACUCUCCCAUGUUGAAAAUUGUGAAUGGAAGGCUUAGACAUCCAACAUUUGUGAUGCUUCAUUUGAUUGGAGUUACAGUGAAAUUUGUAGAUCUGGAAGAAUAAAAGAGAUGCAUAUGAUGUGUGAUCAAUGUUAUUCUACAAUAUUUUUUAUUAUACU
This is a non-coding RNA of Lupinus albus (white lupine), 328 nucleotides long. The record is from the annotation of a GenBank genome assembly. NCBI's taxonomy places the organism in Eukaryota, Viridiplantae, Streptophyta, Magnoliopsida, Fabales, Fabaceae.